RNAcentral lists this ribosomal RNA (1435 nucleotides) under uncultured organism. RNAcentral describes it as "16S ribosomal RNA". It matches the Rfam family "Bacterial small subunit ribosomal RNA". The record is from RNAcentral.
GGGCUUAACACAUGCAAGUCGAGGGGCAGCAUGGUCUUUGCUUGCUAAGGCCGAUGGCGACCGGCGCACGGGUGAGUAACGCGUAUCCAACCUGCCUUACACUCUUGGACAGCCUUCUGAAAGGGAGAUUAAUACAAGAUGUUAUCAUGAGUAAGCAUUUUCGCAUGAUUAAAGGUUUACCGGUGUAAGAUGGGGAUGCGUUCCAUUAGAUAGUAGGCGGGGUAACGGCCCACCUAGUCUUCGAUGGAUAGGGGUUCUGAGAGGAAGGUCCCCCACAUUGGAACUGAGACACGGUCCAAACUCCUACGGGAGGCAGCAGUGAGGAAUAUUGGUCAAUGGACGAGAGUCUGAACCAGCCAAGUAGCGUGAAGGAUGAAGGUUCUAUGGAUUGUAAACUUCUUUUAUACGGGAAUAAACGAAUCCACGCGUGGAUUUUUGCAUGUACCGUAUGAAUAAGGAUCGGCUAACUCCGUGCCAGCAGCCGCGGUAAUACGGAGGAUCCGAGCGUUAUCCGGAUUUAUUGGGUUUAAAGGGAGCGUAGAUGGGUUGUUAAGUCAGUUGUGAAAGUUUGCGGCUCAACCGUAAAAUUGCAAUUGAUACUGGCAGUCUUGAGUACAGUUGAGGUAGGCGGAAUUCGUGGUGUAGCGGUGAAAUGCUUAGAUAUCACGAAGAACUCCGAUUGCGAAGGCAGCUUACUAACCUGUAACUGACAUUGAUGCUCGAAAGUGUGGGUAUCAAACAGGAUUAGAUACCCUGGUAGUCCACACGGUAAACGAUGAAUACUCGCUGUAGGCGAUAUACAGUCUGCGGCCAAGCGAAAGCAUUAAGUAUUCCACCUGGGGAGUACGCCGGCAACGGUGAAGCUCAAAGGAAUUGACGGGGGCCCGCACAAGCGGAGGAACAUGUGGUUUAAUUCGAUGAUACGCGAGGAACCUUACCCGGGCUUAAAUUGCAACCGAAUAUGGCGGAAACGCUAUAGCUAGCAAUAGCGGUUGUGAAGGUGCUGCAUGGUUGUCGUCAGCUCGUGCCGUGAGGUGUCGGCUUAAGUGCCAUAACGAGCGCAACCCUUGCCGAUAGUUACUAACAGGUCAUGCUGAGGACUCUGUCGGGACUGCCAUCGUAAGAUGUGAGGAAGGUGGGGAUGACGUCAAAUCAGCACGGCCCUUACGUCCGGGGCUACACACGUGUUACAAUGGGGGGUACAGAGGGCUGCUACCACGCAAGUGGAUGCCAAUCCCAAAAACCUCUCUCAGUUCGGAUUGAAGUCUGCAACCCGACUUCAUGAAGCUGGAUUCGCUAGUAAUCGCGCAUCAGCCACGGCGCGGUGAAUACGUUCCCGGGCCUUGUACACACCGCCCGUCAAGCCAUGGGAGCCGGGGGUACCUGAAGUGCGUAACCGCAAGGAGCGCCCUAGGGUAAAACUGGUGACUGGGGC